This 531-nucleotide ribosomal RNA is filed under the name Triticum aestivum (bread wheat). RNAcentral describes it as "partial small subunit ribosomal RNA". The record is from RNAcentral. Lineage: Eukaryota; Viridiplantae; Streptophyta; Magnoliopsida; Poales; Poaceae.
AUGGAUUUGCUGAAGCACAAGGUCCAGUCCCUGGCCGUCUUCCCCCUAACAAAUAAGGAGACUGGUAUGUCCAAAAAGCAAUUAAAACGGAGCCUAGAGAAAAUAGAAAAGGUUAUAAAUGAAGCACACCAAAUUUUGGAAUGGCUGAACUUGCCCACCGUAAAUAAGGGUGACGAGAGACAACCUAUUGCAGCCAAUGCAUGUACCACUGCAACUUCCCCAGUAAAAGUAAUUGGUCGAGAUGAGGAUCGUGACAAGAUCAUAGAAAUGCUUCGUGAGAAGGCAGGUCAUGGUCAGACAAACAUGAAUAGCGGUCUAUGUUAUUCUGUUGUUGGAAUUCAUCUCAUAGGUGGGUCUGGGAAAUCAACCCUUGCACAGUUUGUUUAUGCCCAGGAAGAAAAGGACAAGCUAGCCGAAAAAGAUGGUCAUUUUGACAUUCUAUUAUGGGUUUAUGUCUCUAAAAAAUCUAGCAUUGAGGCCAUUUACAGGAAAAUGUUCGAGACAAUUCAAGGACCACUUCCGCUUCGGUAG